This 890-nucleotide long non-coding RNA is filed under the name Solanum tuberosum (potato). RNAcentral describes it as "long non-coding RNA (STUB_LNC007467)". The record is from RNAcentral. Lineage: Eukaryota; Viridiplantae; Streptophyta; Magnoliopsida; Solanales; Solanaceae.
UUGUCCAUUUUUUCCCUUUUUGAGUUUUGGAGCCAAUUUUUGAGAGGUUUUUCAUGGUGAAUCAAUUGGAUAAGCCUUUGUAACUCUAAAACUUCUUUUGCCAUUAAUUAUUUAUGUAUGCUAAUAUCAAAAUUUGGGAUUUUAAUUUGAAAAAUGACAAGAUUUUGCAAGAACUUGAGUUUUGAUCUAAAAUAGUGAUUUUGAAGUGGUUUUAAGUUCCUUUUCGAAAUGGUUUUCACUAUUUAAUUCCUAAAGCCUUAAACAUCAUUAUUUUCAAGUAUUGUUUUCCGGAUUGAAACCUCAUUUUUGAAAUUGGAUUUUAAGUUGAUUGACUCAUUUUUCUAAAUAAUUGAUGUGAGUAUUGUUGUUUUCAAAGAGUGAUUGUGAAUACUUGAUUGUUAUAAACUGUGUGCUUUUAGAACUGAGUCGGAAAGGAAAAACUCAAGCUUCGAAUUGAUUGAUUGAUUUAUGGCAAGUGGUCUCUUAACCUUGGUAAUUUAGUGGAAUUGUUUACUUCUUUUCAUUGUAUAUGUGUUGGGAGUAAUCGGGAAUGAGGUGAAAGGUUUAUUUGCUCCACUUGAUUAAUGUUAACCAACAAAAAGGGAGAAAAUGAAAAGGCUUCGUGAUGAUAAUGAUAAAUUGUGAAUUGCCUUGUUGCGGCCCCUAUUUGAUUGAUUGGUGAAUUGUUUGAAUGCAUGAAAGCGGGAUUGAAUGAUAUGAAUUGUUGUCUCUCUGUGUGGUGUGAUAUUGCUUGUGUGCAUUGAUUGUUGAACACCAUGAUGAGACACUUGAUAUAAAGCCGAAGGAAAAUGGUUCCAACUAGUGAUAUGAAUGCCGAAGGAAAAUGGUUUCGACUAGUAAUAUAAAUGCCGAAGGAAAAUAGAUCUGGU